CAUCAGUGGCGAAGGCGGCUAACUGGUAUAACACUGACGCUGAGGUACGAAAGCGUGGGGAGCAAACGGGAUUAGAUACCCCCGGUAGUCCACGCCCUAAACGAUGAGAACUAGCUGUUGGUUGCGUAAAUGCAGUCAGUAGCGAAGCUAACGCGUUAAGUUCUCCGCCUGGGGAGUACGACCGCAAGGUUGAAACUCAAAGGAAUUGACGGGGGCCCGCACAAGCGGUGGAGCAUGUGGUUUAAUUCGAUGCAACGCGAAGAACCUUACCAUCCCUUGACAUCCUCAGAAUUUGUCGUAAUGACUUAGUGCCUUCGGGAACUGAGAGACAGGUGCUGCACGGCUGUCGUCAGCUCGUGUCGUGAGAUGUUGGGUUAAGUCCCGCAACGAGCGCAACCCCUAUCCUUAUUUGCCAGCACGUAAUGGUGGGAACUCUAAGGAGACUGCCGGUGAUAAGCCGGAGGAAGGUGGGGACGACGUCAAGUCAUCAUGGCCCUUACGGGAUGGGCUACACACGUGCUACAAUGGUGCAUACAGAGGGUUGCCAACCAGCGAUGGGGAGCUAAUCCCAGAAAGUGCAUCUUAGUCCGGAUCGCAGUCUGCAACUCGACUGCGUGAAGUUGGAAUCGCUAGUAAUCGCGAAUCAGCAACGUCGCGGUGAAUACGUUCCCGGGCCU
This 677-nucleotide ribosomal RNA is filed under the name uncultured bacterium. RNAcentral's name for it is "bacterial SSU rRNA". It matches the Rfam family "Bacterial small subunit ribosomal RNA", at positions 707 to 1381 of the family's 1533-position model. The record is from RNAcentral.